Molecule: long non-coding RNA, 1443 nt
Filed under: Canis lupus familiaris (dog)
Lineage: Eukaryota; Metazoa; Chordata; Mammalia; Carnivora; Canidae
Description: lncRNA (ENSCAFG00030010294.1)
Source: RNAcentral
AUGAGAAAUGAGUCGAGGGGUGUCCUUCCUCUGGGACUCUUUUCCUUUUCCUUUCGCGGGCCCAGGUGGUCCUUGGCACUCCAGCAGCCGGGCCUUACGGCCGGGACACUAUUCGUAGAAGUUCCUCCGGAGGUUUCGUCAUCCACGCGGCGCUCUGGAACCCCUCUGCUCCUCUGGUCGACAGCAAACAUUUCUGGCGACAGGCAGUGCCCGAAGUCCCGAGGAUUUCCGGACACUUUGCACGGCGGCGCGGUCGCCCGGGGGCCCGGAGAAGGUGAGUUGGCGCGAACCGACCGCUCGGGGUCUCGUCCCCAUAGGGCGGGGGGCGCGGGGCGCGGAGGGGGGGGCGGCCUGGGGAGGGGGCGCUGCGGGGGGGCGCGGAGGGAGGAGGGGGCGCGGGGGGGCACGGGGGGGCCACGGGGGACCGCGGGGGGCGCGCAGGGGGGCGCGCAGGGGGGCACGGGGGAGCUGCGGGCGGGCACGGGGGACCGCGGGGGGGCCUCGGGGGGAGGAGAGGGGGCGCGGGGGGACCGCAGGCGGGCACGGGGGUGCUGCGGGGGGGCACGGGGGGUGCGGGGUGGGGGGAGGCGGCCGGGCAUCGCGGCCCCGCCCGGCCAGGUGUCGCCCUCCCGGGGCCCUGCGGGGGAGCGGCGGCGGGAGGAGGCUGCGGUCGGGGCCGGGGCUGUUUGGACGCGGCGGAGGGUGGCGGCCGGGCCGGGGCGGCGGGAGCGGGGUGCGCGCGCGAGCCGAGGGGGCGCUUACGUCGCAGCUCGAGCGGAGCUGGGGUGGUUAGAGCCGAGUCCUCCGAGCCGCGCAGCCCGAGCCGCAGCCGCAGCCGCAGCCGCAGCCGCAGCCGCAGCCGGAGCAGCAGCAGCCGCAGCAGCAGCCGCCCGGAGGGGCGCGCCCCCCGCAGCAGCCCCGCCGCCCCCCGCCGCCCCCCGCAGCCCGGCGCACAAAGGCGGCGGCCGCCCGCCCGGCCUCCUCCCGCCCGGCCUCCUCCCGCCGCCUCCAGCCGCCUCCCGGGGGCGCGAAUGGCCUCGCGGGGCGACGACCUGGGGCGCGGGGGGCCCUAGGUCGGCGCGCCCCGGCCCCACCCCCACCCCCACCCCCACCCCGCCGGCCGGGAGGGGGCGAUGCGGGCCCGGGGCCCCGCCGCCCGCCGCCGCCGCGCUGCAGCCCGCGGAGCCGAGUGGGUGCCGCCGCCUCGGGCGCCGCUGGACGCCGGGGAGAGCCCCCGCCCCCGCCCCCGCCCCCGCCCCCGCCCCCGGGGCUGCCGGUAGGAGGCUUCGGGCAGCUAGGCACCUUCCCGUUUGGGUCCCCGCUGCCCUGCUCCACCUCCUCCACCCCACCCCACCCCACCCUCACAUUCUGGAAGCUCCGGGGUGGGGGCGAUCCCUGCCCUCCCUGCGCACCCCCACCCCCGGGACAGCCCCGUGGGAAUAA